UGACAUUGCAAUCUUAGACUGACAUUAUGU
RNAcentral lists this non-coding RNA (30 nucleotides) under Mus musculus (house mouse). The record is from RNAcentral. Lineage: Eukaryota; Metazoa; Chordata; Mammalia; Rodentia; Muridae.